UGGGGAAUAUUGCACAAUGGGCGCAAGCCUGAUGCAGCCAUGCCGCGUGUAUGAAGAAGGCCUUCGGGUUGUAAAGUACUUUCAGCGGGGAGGAAGGGAGUAAAGUUAAUACCUUUGCUCAUUGACGUUACCCGCAGAAGAAGCACCGGCUAACUCCGUGCCAGCAGCCGCGGUAAUACGGAGGGUGCAAGCGUUAAUCGGAAUUACUGGGCGUAAAGCGCACGCAGGCGGUCUGUCAAGUCGGAUGUGAAAUCCCCGGGCUCAACCUGGGAACUGCAUUCGAAACUGGCAGGCUAGAGUCUUGUAGAGGGGGGUGGAAUUCCAGGUGUAGCAGUGAAAUGCGUAGAGAUCUGGAGGAAUACCGGUGGCGAAGGCGGCCCCCUGGACAAAGACUGACGCUCAGGUGCGAAAGCGUGGGGAGCAAACAGG
This 429-nucleotide ribosomal RNA is filed under the name Chloroflexota bacterium. RNAcentral's name for it is "Chloroflexi bacterium partial 16S ribosomal RNA". It matches the Rfam family "Bacterial small subunit ribosomal RNA", at positions 355 to 776 of the family's 1533-position model. Lineage: Bacteria; Bacillati; Chloroflexota. The record is from RNAcentral.